Molecule: RNase P RNA, 267 nt
Filed under: Staphylococcus aureus
Lineage: Bacteria; Bacillati; Bacillota; Bacilli; Caryophanales; Staphylococcaceae
Description: partial RNase P RNA component class B
Rfam family: Bacterial RNase P class B
About the family: Ribonuclease P (RNase P) is a ubiquitous endoribonuclease, found in archaea, bacteria and eukarya as well as chloroplasts and mitochondria. Its best characterised activity is the generation of mature 5'-ends of tRNAs by cleaving the 5'-leader elements of precursor-tRNAs.
Source: RNAcentral
UAUUUUGGGUAAUCGCUAUAUUAUAUAGAGGAAAGUCCAUGCUCACACAGUCUGAGAUGAUUGUAGUGUUCGUGCUUGAUGAAACAAUAAAUCAAGGCAUUAAUUUGACGGCAAUGAAAUAUCCUAAGUCUUUCGAUAUGGAUAGAGUAAUUUGAAAGUGCCACAGUGACGUAGCUUUUAUAGAAAUAUAAAAGGUGGAACGCGGUAAACCCCUCGAGUGAGCAAUCCAAAUUUGGUAGGAGCACUUGUUUAACGGAAUUCAACGUA